GAGGGGCCGUCAGCUAUGAAUGUUCCAGAUGAAUGUCUUGUUCUGGGAGCAUGGCUCUUUCCGGAUUCAGGCACCCCCGUUCCUGGGGGUAGAGGCGUUCAGUUGCAGCGUCUUGUGAACAAGCCUCCAGCCUUUCUAGUUCUGUGCUACGAACUUGGCCCGGAGAAGAUGGCUUAAGGUGUAGGACACUUUAACUUCAGCCCAGCAUGAUUGAUGAUGCCUUGUAGAUGGUUUUGCAGCAGGAGCCCAGUGACCUCGCCACCUUCCCUGCGUCUGCGGCCCGCCUGCCUCUGCAUUGGUCAGAGGAAUUCUUAACAGAACUUUUGGGUGUUGGGGAAAACUGUUGGGUUUUAAAUGACUGGUGUGGAAGAGUCUUAGAUGAAGCCUGUUGUUAAAUGGGUUGGGGGGUUGUGUUUUUAAAUGUGGGAAGGCACGAGUUAGCCGCAAAUUCUGUAGUUUGUAGAUGGCAUAUCUAACUUGGGAUGGCUUUGUAUUAAGGGAACAGUGGCCUGCGGUGGUCCGUGGGUUUGGUACUGGGUGAUGGGCAAGCGCUGCUCUGCUGAAUGACAGGUCUGACUGUGCACAUGGCCUUCCGAGGUGAAAUUUGAGUUUUACUGGGUCAAGCUUGGUGGUACUUUUGGCACCAAAUGUGGGACUGGGACUUGUGGGGGAGAGCUGGGCUCAGCUUGGCAAUGGUGUAUUGUCCAGAGGAUUGAUGAUGGUGGAGUUGGUGCCAGUAAGGGAUGUGCUUGGAAAUGUGC
This 761-nucleotide long non-coding RNA is filed under the name Androctonus crassicauda. The record is from RNAcentral. Lineage: Eukaryota; Metazoa; Arthropoda; Arachnida; Scorpiones; Buthidae.